GAAUUUUAUUCUAAAUAUGACAAUUGGCGGUAGAAAUACAAUCAAAAUACCCCACUCACUUUGUUUCCUCGGUCUGUAUUUUCGCUCUUGAGCUGUCUCCUUGGUAUUGGAAGCAAUUUCUUAUAACUUUACAAUUUUCCAUGCGUCCAUUCUUAUUCUGUCCCACUAGAUUCAAUUCGAGGACGAAUUGUCUUAAGGGGGGGAGAUUGNNNN
RNAcentral lists this long non-coding RNA (213 nucleotides) under Jatropha curcas. RNAcentral's name for it is "long non-coding RNA (JCUR_LNC000195)". Lineage: Eukaryota; Viridiplantae; Streptophyta; Magnoliopsida; Malpighiales; Euphorbiaceae. The record is from RNAcentral.